Long non-coding RNA from Astatotilapia calliptera (eastern happy), 1060 nucleotides. The record is from Ensembl. Lineage: Eukaryota; Metazoa; Chordata; Actinopteri; Cichliformes; Cichlidae.
ACAUCACCGCGGUAGGAAUUAGAAUCAAACUUAUGGGAAAGGAGACUCAUUGGACAUCAAUCAGCGGGAUGAGAACUAUUGAUAACAAAAGAAAGAAUCUUUGGAAAAAGUUUAUCUUAGGAGAAUUAAUUUAUUUUAGUCUGACCCCAGUCCCAUCCACUAACAUGGAGGAGGCGGGAUUUAUGACCUAUACUGCAGCCAGACACCAGGGGGCGAUAGAGACGUUUUGGCUUCAUUUUUGGGGAGCUGUCGCGUCGUCCAUCUUUUAUACAAUCAUUGAUACGCACCUACUGGCAUGCCCCUUUAAAUUUCUUCAUAAAUGUUAUUUUCAUUCAUUCAUUUUCAUUCAUUUAUUUGUUCAUUUUCAGGCACAACAAAUACCUAUAUUGAACAUAAAAUGCACAAAACAAAAAAACUAAAAUUGCCUGAAAAAGGAGUGGGGCGAAGAAAACUUAUUAAAUCCCACCCCUGUACUCACUCAUCAACAAAAAAAACAAUAAACUUCCCGCAGCUACGCCCAUCAUUGCAUACAGACCCAUCAACAGCCCCGGGCAGAUACAAGCAUCUAAACGGCAGCUCGCAAACAACAAUUAGAGCCUUCAUAACUGAAUACAGAAUAUAUAAAUUAUAAAUGGCAUUACCACAGGUAACAGGCAGUAAUAACUACAAGUAACAAACACACAUACAUAUACAUACAUAUAUAUCUACACACACAUGUACAUAUAUGUACAUACAUACGCACACUUUUUUUUUUUUUUUGAAUCCAUACCAGCAAUGGUAAGAGAACAGACAUUACAGAGCACACUAAAAACCAUCAUUGAGUAUACUGUGACCAGACCAACUGUUUGUAGAGAAAUUUAAAUCUAUGAAUAUUUUUGCAUUGUUUCAAUUGUAAACUCAGACUGUUCCAGAUUUUCACACCACAUACAGACACACAAAAGCCUUUACGGGUUGUUCGAGUUCUGGGUAAUUUGAAUUCUCCAAAGCCUCUCACAUUAUAAACCUUUUCUCGAAUUUCAAAUCUAGUUUGUAAAUUUGCCGGUAAAAGUUUAGUAAAAGC